AACGAACGCUGGCGGCAGGCUUAACACAUGCAAGUCGAACGCUCCGCAAGGAGAGUGGCAGACGGGUGAGUAACACGUGGGAACGUACCCUUUACUACGGAACAACUCCGGGAAACUGGAGCUAAUACCGUAUGUGCCCUUCGGGGGAAAGAUUUAUCGGUAAAGGAUCGGCCCGCGUAGGAUUAGCUAGUUGGUGGGGUAAAGGCCUACCAAGGCGACGAUCCAUAGCUGGUCUGAGAGGAUGAUCAGCCACAUUGGGACUGAGACACGGCCCAAACUCCUACGGGAGGCAGCAGUGGGGAAUAUUGGACAAUGGGCGCAAGCCUGAUCCAGCCAUGCCGCGUGUGUGAUGAAGGCCUUAGGGUUGUAAAGCACUUUCACCGGAGAAGAUAAUGACGGUAUCCGGAGAAGAAGCCCCGGCUAACUUCGUGCCAGCCGCCGCAGUAA
This 447-nucleotide ribosomal RNA is filed under the name uncultured bacterium. Its description in RNAcentral is "partial 16S ribosomal RNA". It matches the Rfam family "Bacterial small subunit ribosomal RNA", at positions 29 to 523 of the family's 1533-position model. The record is from RNAcentral.